GCGGAUGUGGCGGAAUGGCAGACGCGCCAGACUUAGGAUCUGGUAUCUAACGAUGUGGGGGUUCAAGUCCCUUCAUCCGCACCA
Molecule: transfer RNA, 84 nt
Filed under: Clostridia bacterium
Lineage: Bacteria; Bacillati; Bacillota; Clostridia
Description: tRNA-Leu
Rfam family: tRNA
About the family: Transfer RNA (tRNA) molecules are approximately 80 nucleotides in length. Their secondary structure includes four short double-helical elements and three loops (D, anti-codon, and T loops). Further hydrogen bonds mediate the characteristic L-shaped molecular structure. tRNAs have two regions of fundamental functional importance: the anti-codon, which is responsible for specific mRNA codon recognition, and the 3' end, to which the tRNAs corresponding amino acid is attached (by aminoacyl-tRNA synthetases). tRNAs cope with the degeneracy of the genetic code in two manners: having more than one tRNA (with a specific anti-codon) for a particular amino acid; and 'wobble' base-pairing, i.e. permitting non-standard base-pairing at the 3rd anti-codon position.
Source: RNAcentral